This is a non-coding RNA of Sinocyclocheilus grahami, 517 nucleotides long. The record is from the annotation of a RefSeq genome assembly. Lineage: Eukaryota; Metazoa; Chordata; Actinopteri; Cypriniformes; Cyprinidae.
AGGACUCAUCACCAGUUCAGCCUUCAUAUAAACCAUGUUCACUUCAUUUCUCUUGCUGUUGCUGGCUGCUGUGUCUUGUAUUGACUGUCAGGUUGUGCUCACACAGUCUGAACAGUCAGUAGUUGUGGCUCCAGGUGCUUCCUACAAACUGACCUGUGCCUGCAGUGGGUUUACUGUUAGUGGCACUUACAUGCACUGGAUCCGUCAGGCCCCUGGAAAAGGACUGGAAUGGAUUAUUUAUUAUUAUGAUGAUAAUAAUAAGAACUCAGCUCAGUCAGUGCAGGGCAGAUUCACAGCAUCCUCGGACAGCUCUAAUCUCUAUCUGAAUAUGAAUCAGCUGAAGACUGAAGACACUGCAGUGUAUUACUGUGCAACAGGGACACAGUGGAAACACAAAUACAGGGCAGCUGUUCAAAAACUCAUCAUGAGAAAUGGGGCGGACAUCCAAGUUACGCAAGCUGAACAUCUUGCAAUCCUUACCCCACAAAAUAAGCAUGACACUGAUACUACACUCUAA